GUGGAUUAGAUACCCUGGUAGUCCACGCCCUAAACGAUGCGAACUAGGUGUUGGGGAAGGAGACUUUCUUAGUACCGCAGCUAACGCGUGAAGUUCGCCGCCUGGGGAGUACGGUCGCAAGAUUAAAACUCAAAGGAAUUGACGGGGACCCGCACAAGCGGUGGAUGAUGUGGAUUAAUUCGAUGCAACGCGAAAAACCUUACCUACCCUUGACAUGCCGAGAAUCCUGCUGAGAGGUGGGAGUGCCCGAAAGGGAGCUUGGACACAGGUGCUGCACGGCCGUCGUCAGCU
This 291-nucleotide ribosomal RNA is filed under the name uncultured bacterium. Its description in RNAcentral is "partial 16S ribosomal RNA". It matches the Rfam family "Bacterial small subunit ribosomal RNA", at positions 773 to 1060 of the family's 1533-position model. The record is from RNAcentral.